GGAAUGCUGACUCUCUCACAUCUCAAAACUCUUUCUACCAAAGGAGAAAAAUGAAGUUUGAGAAAUAUUUUACUCUAAUAAGUGAAAUUUUGAAUAUUCUGAAGAUAAAAGAACGUGGCACUCCUAAGAAGCCAUGUUCAACAGCUGAUUCAGGAGUGCUGCUAAGAGUUCACAACAUGCAGGAGGGGAGUCUCCUUGAGACAGAGCCAAGCCUUCCUCAAUUUGCAUUCUAUGCAUCAGUGCUCAUUGUUGACUGGGGAGAGAAAUGAGAAGAGCAAAGUGGAAGGAGGUGGUGGAAAGCGAGGAAAGGCCGCCAGAUCCCACCCUUGGACCCCCAUGAAAAUGGAAACAAUGGAAUAAUCAAAGUUGAGAAGCCAACCACUCAAGCCAGCCGCCGGUGCUGUUGACCCAAGGGCCGUGGUCCAUGGUACUUGAAGAAGCCAGAGCCCACAUCCUGUGCGCUGCUGAAGGACCCUACGCUCAGUGGCCUGGCACCUCACUUUGAGAAGAGUGAGCACACUGGCUUUGCAUCCUGGAAGACCUGCAGGGGGCGGGACAGGAAAUGUUCCUGAGAAGGAUUUUAGAAAACCCUGGGAAAACCC
RNAcentral lists this small RNA (602 nucleotides) under Pongo abelii (Sumatran orangutan). Its description in RNAcentral is "processed transcript". Lineage: Eukaryota; Metazoa; Chordata; Mammalia; Primates; Hominidae. The record is from RNAcentral.